CAGUAGCCACGGUAAUACAGAGGAUGCAAGCGUUAUCCGGAAUGAUUGGGCGUAAAGCGUCUGUAGGUGGCUUUUCAAGUCCGCCGUCAAAUCCCAGGGCUCAACCCUGGACAGGCGGUGGAAACUACCAAGCUGGAGUACGGUAGGGGCAGAGGGAAUUUCCAGUGGAGCGGUGAAAUGCGUUGAGAUCGAAAAGAACACCAACAGCGAAAGCACUCUGCUGGGACGACACUGACACUAAGAGACGAAAGCUAGGGGAGCAAAUGGGAUUAGAUACCCCAGUAGUCCCUGUCUCUUAUAC
RNAcentral lists this ribosomal RNA (301 nucleotides) under uncultured bacterium. Its description in RNAcentral is "partial 16S ribosomal RNA". It matches the Rfam family "Bacterial small subunit ribosomal RNA", at positions 509 to 807 of the family's 1533-position model. The record is from RNAcentral.